GGCCUAGCAUAAGUGUUAUUCAGGAUGAAGUUAUACAAGGGCUUGAGAAUCUUGCAUUCCUCAAGAUGACAUCCAUUGCAACAGGUCAGAAUUCUUUAUGAGUGCUGCAUUAUGGCCCACUUCACGCUUAAGAACAAACAUGAGGAUUUCAGAGCUGAAUCAACGUUAGACUCUUAAAAAACAAUUGUAUCAUAUUCAGUGAACACUGAUGAAAGCCUCAGAAGAAUGGAACCACCUGCAGCUUUAUCUACCCUACCCCAACAUUUUGUUUCUUUCUUGGUUCUCCUACUGCCCACCCUUUCCCCUUGAAAUACUGGAGUCCCCAAGCCCCCUUUGAAAUAAAAAGCACAAAUCA
This 355-nucleotide long non-coding RNA is filed under the name Homo sapiens (human). Its description in RNAcentral is "non-protein coding lnc-HTR2C-1:2". The record is from RNAcentral. Lineage: Eukaryota; Metazoa; Chordata; Mammalia; Primates; Hominidae.